GAUUAACGCUGGCGGUAUGCCUAACACAUGCAAGUCGAACGGAAUACUAAUUAAGAGAAUCUCACACUAGUGAGAGGUUCUCACGAGUAGUAUUUAGUGGCGGACGGGUGAGUAACACGUUGGAACCUGCCCCGAAGUGGGGAAUAACUGCUCGAAAGAGUAGCUAAUACCCCAUAGUAUCCGGUUUAUCCGGAUUAAAGAUUUAUCGCUUCGGGAGGGGCCUGCGUCUGAUUAGCUAGUUGGUGAGGUAAAAGCUCACCAAGGCGACGAUCAGUAGCUGGUUCGAGAGGAUGACCAGCCACACUGGGACUGAGAUACGGCCCAGACUCCUACGGGAGGCAGCAGUCGAGAAUAGUCUACAAUGGUCGGAAGACUGAUAGUGCGACGCCGCGUGAACGAUGAAUCCCUUCGGGGUGUAAAGUUCUUUUAUAUGUGAGCAGUGCUUCUUAUAUUAACAGUAUGGGGAGAGAGAUAUUAGCAUAUGAAUAAGCAAC
This 494-nucleotide ribosomal RNA is filed under the name uncultured bacterium. RNAcentral describes it as "bacterial SSU rRNA". It matches the Rfam family "Bacterial small subunit ribosomal RNA", at positions 28 to 494 of the family's 1533-position model. The record is from RNAcentral.